GAACACUUUAUAGAGCGCCCUUCUCUUUCGUCUCCAUUUUCUGCAAUCAGGAUAAUGCAGUGCAUUUCUGAGCCAUUUUCAUUUUUGAAGUGCUCUUUCAUCAUUAGCUAAUAAAUACUCAUCAAUGAAUUUUCCUCCGCGUCUUGGAAGUUGGAGGAAAAAGAUAAUCGCUUUCCAAUUCGAGUAUCCAAAUAUAAGGUUGGCUGACAGCCAGGAGGCUAAGUCCUAGAGGAUAAUGGCUUAUUGUCUGUGAGCAGCCUUGUUUUAAAGUCUCUCUAUUCAGUUCUGGCAGCACUUGUGAUGCAGAAGAUAGUUCUAAGGCCGUGAAGAAAGGUCACAUGCUGGGUGUUAGCUGUACUGAGUAGCCCAAGUGAUUUUAUUUUUCCACUGAACAGCUCUUUGUUGCUGUAGAUGACCAAAACAUUGACUCCUUUUCACUUUUUGCUGAAAAUUUCACUGUUGUCUGAAAGCUUUGAUAUCUGACUUGCUGAGUGGUUUGGAAUGGCCCACUGCAAUGUUAGGUAUAUCCUGAAAAUAGAGAUAAAUAAUAGGAACAUGUAUUUAAUCAAAUUCAGAUUCGCAGGCAACAAUAUCUUGAUAUAUUUAGGCUUCUCUUCUGUAAAAAAAAAAAUAAAAAUGACCUCCAUAUAUAAGAGGAAAAGCUGCUUUCAGCAACUUCAAUGGGAGGGCGAUUUUUUUUCAUCUUUAAAAGCUCAUUCAAACCAGCAUAUUAAUGAUUUAUGAACAAAUGGAGAAUAUAAGGGAUUACAUUCCUUUUGAACUGUACAAAGUUGUAAAAAGCCUAGAGAAAAAGGACUUGGUUCAAGAUAAAUGUUUGCUGAACUGAUGUAUUGAACCCUUCUAAAUGCUCUUGGAUGAAGAAAACCUCAAAUCUGAACUCAUUUUCUCUUAUGUUGCUAAGCUUUUUAGAAGAUGACUUUGAAACCUGAAUGAGCACAGAUUUAACUGUAAUUUCUAGCCCUUGAUAAUUCCAGUUGAGGAUGUGGAUCUACAACUUGAGUGCAAGAAAGAAUGACAGUCAGUUAAGCAUCGUAGCACCCUAACAAGAAGAAAAGGGAAGAACCGUGUGACCAGUCCUCUGUUCUGAAUCCACUUUCAUUAUCUGACAAUUCAGUGAAUAUUUAAAGAAUAUCUUCUUUGUGCUAGUGCAUGGCCACAUGUUGCAGCUACAGUAACAAAGAAGAAAUGCAUUCCCUGCCUUCAAGGAGUUUACAGUCCGGUGGAAGGGUCUGGACAAGAAAUGGAAUAUUGUAAGUCAUUGUCGUCACCAGAGACAAACUGGGCAGUUUUGGAAUUCGUGGAGCCCAAUCAGGAAGGCCAGGGAAGCCUUCAGGGGGAAGGGCAGUCUGGACUGGGCCCUGAAGGAUGGGAAAGAUGUUGCUGUUCCACAUCCAUCUCUCCAUCGCUGUGCCGCUGCUCCAGGAAAAAUUCCCCAUUGGAGGAGAACCCAGAUUGAGAGUGUCUCUUAGAAAUAAACCGGGUAUUUCAGGAAUCCGCGAGAUUGCCCUCAUGUGCUGCUGGCGGGAACGUGAAGUGGCCCAGCCCCUUUGGAAAACAGUUGGGCAGUUGCUUAACCUGUGAAGCGGAAGCUUAGCAUGAGACUUCUCUCAGGUUCGUUCCUAAGGAUUUCCCUCCGAGAAGUGAAAGUACGUACGCACAUAAAUCCUCGUACACGAGUGUCCACAGGAGCAUACUCCUCACACCCCAGAAGUGGAAGCAGUCCCAGUUACUUGAAUUGGUGAGAGGAUGCACAAAAUGGGGGUAUGUCCGUACAAUGAGAUAGCGGUCCAUAGGAAAAAAGAAGAAAUGAAAUGCUAAUGCACGCCACAACGUGGAUGAGCUUCAAAGACCUGCUGGGAGAAAGAAGACAGGCGCAGAAGUGUUCAGACUGUGUGAUUCCAUUUGUACGAAAUGUCCAGAAAAGGCAAAUCUAUAGAGACAAGAAGCAGAGUAGGGGUUGGGGCGGGCGUAGGAGCAGAAAGUAACUGUCGAACAGGCUGGAGGAAGUUUGGGGGGCUGAUUGAAAUGUUUCAAAACUGAAUGGUGGUGAUAAUUGUCCAACUCUAUACAUUCCCCAAUAAUCAUUCAACUGUACAGUUACAACGGGGAAAUUCUGUGGGGUACAGAGUACCCUCAUCAGAGCUGUAAAAAUUGUUGAAUUGGCACUGCUACCUUCCUGUUUUUAUUAUAGUGAUAUUACAGUUUCAAAAACGUUUCCAUGUAAUAUUUUAAAAAGUCUUUAAUCACAGAGUCUAGAUUUUCAGUUGGUUUCUUUUUUGCGGACCCCUGAGACCCUUCACCUUGACACCAGUGGAGACAUAUUCAGGCUGUAAAAAACUUCUCUCCUUCAAACUAAUUAAGCUCUGAUGACAUCAGCUGUAUUUGCAGUGCACCUGAUUAAGGCCAUGAUACUAAUUAAAUUCUUGAAUGAUUAGAAAUGCAAAUUACCUGACUGAGUUCAGCAACAGACAUUGCUUCUGGGCCCCGGAACAGUGGGGAGCAGCCAGCUUCCUCUCAGGUGACAGAGUGCUCUCAAGUCUCACCUGAGUCUCAGGAGACAGUGUUAACUGUGAACAACUAAGAUUUACCUAUUUCGUGCUGGCUGAUAUUUCAUUUACAGAAGCAGCACAUUUCUAGGGGGCUCAUACCCGUGUGAGUACACUGAGAAGUGCUGUGGUGGGGGAUGGAAGGACCCCUCACCCAGUUCUUUGCAGUCAGAGCUGAGUUCAAAUUCUGCCUCUCGUUUGCCAGGGGUGUGGUCUUUGGCUUACCAGUUUCUCUGAGCCUAUAAAUCUUUAUAGCAGGGAAUUUGAUUAUGUAGCUAUCUAGCUCAAAAGACUUGGGAGCUAAUUAAAUGAGAUCUAGUGUACACGGGGCAUUUAAAAAGUGGUAUCUAGUCAUGGGGUAGCUUAGAUAAGGUCUUCAUUCAUUCAACAAAUAUUAACUGAGUGCCUGCCAUUCAUUUAUUCCUUCUGUUUAGAAAAUAUUUGCUGAACACCUGCUAUAUUCCUGGUGGGAUUCUUGGUGGCCAGGAUACAUCAAUGAAUUAAAAAAGACAAAUCCACACCAUAGCAAAGCCUACUUAGAAAGUGUCUAUAAACAUCAUUAUUAAAUUCUGAAAUACGUUUCAAAGUGAUACAUCCCUUGGAAAAAACGAAGUAGGAUGGGGGUACCUAGAGUGAUGGUGGUGAGAGAAAGGAUAGACGGCAAUGUAGGCUGAUGAGGGAAGGGCUCAAUGAGCAGGUGGAACACGACAAAGCCUUGGAGGAGGUGUGGGAGGUAGCCGUCGUCCAGCAGCUCUCUAGGGAAGAGCUUCACAGGCCGGGUGAACAGCCAGUACAAAAGGGCCCCAAGUGUCAUGGACCAGACAUCUUCAGAGGUACCAGGGAGGCCCGGUACCGUGCCAGACACCAGAUACACAGCGGUAAACCAGCAGGCAGAACUGAGUUCAGAUUCUGCUUCUGUCACUUUCCAGUUUGGUGGAUCUUUGGAUAAUCAUUUAAUUUCUCUGAGCUUAUAUCCACUCAUCUAUAAAAUGAGAUUUGAAUGUCUUUUUCAAAGGGUUAUCUGUCAUUUACCCGAGUCAUCUUGAAGGUAGAGUUUGUAAAUCGUGCCUCAGCGGAACAGGAGCCAUUUUGCUGCCUGGUUCUGAUCCAUUUAGUUACAUCUGGCAUCCUCUGCCACCAGCCCGUUCCAGGACUUUGGCAUGGUUGGUGGGGCAGCUCGGAGAUGGGACUGGCUGAAAUAGAAGGACCACUCUGAGACAUAACAAGGGAUGAGUUCAUUCAGCCAGUAGAUACUGAGCUUCUGCUAUGUUCUGGACACUUUUAUUGCUUGGAGAAGAACCACCUGGAAAGUGGUAAAGAGUUUUAAACACUAGGAUGAUAACGAAUUUUAUACAUCUCUAAAUGUCUGCCUGUGCGUGAAUCUGUGUAGUUUUCCUCAGCAGCCACUGUGCACCAAAAGUGACUCAGCAGUUUCUGGAACUUUUAUCAGAGAUUUCUGGUGAAUUGUGGGCUGGGGGUUGAGAGAGCAAGGGAAGGACCGGGGGGGCUCCUUCACCUUCAACAAUGGCCUUCUCGAACUUUCCUUGUCUCCUGCUGGCUAUGAACCGUUGUCAUGGACAGAACACCAAAUUGAGCCAAAAGACUUGACUGGUCAGGCCGUCCUUCAAGUUUUAGCUGUGUGACCAGGGCUUGUCACGUGGCUCCUCUGAGCUUUAUUUUUCUCAUUUAUAUAACGGAGGUAAAACCUCCAUUGCCUGCCCCCCACAUGUCAAAGGUCAAAUAAGGUAAUGCGUUUGAAAUUAAUUGAUAAACAGUAAAACUAAAUGUGAGAUGAGCGAGGUGCAGGUCAUUGUUGGAGAAAGAAGCUGAUGGGAUAAUGGGGACGGUCAGUUGUCUGUGGUAGGGAAGGAUGGCCUUGGCACUUCUCCAAGGAGUAGACGUUUGGUGCUAAUUUAUGCACAUUAGUUAAUUUCGCUUUGCUGCGGGCUCAGAUGGGACUCCCUGAUGGAUGUGCUGUCCAAGACAGAACCAUGAAAGCCAUGCAGCUCAGAGCUGCGAUCCUUCUGGGGAUGGACCUGGAGGAGACAGGCUGGUGGGAGGCACAGGCUUGGCUGACAAUUUCAGAGUCAUCUGCUCGGCAGAAGCCUGCUGAGCCCCGGGGAGUGGGAUGGGUAGAGAAAACUCUUUUGUCCUAAAAACUAUUAGGGUCAUUUUCAACCCUGCUUUCCAGUCAUGUGGGUUUUACAUUCCAGACUCGUAGGAAUACAGUCACUCAGUGGUAGCUGGUGAGGCUGUGCCCUUCUCCCCAAGCUCAGAAACCAUCUGGACUGGCUGAGCGUGAAAAGGCAAAAGGCAAGAUACUUUUCAGUAGGAGAAAAACACUCUCAAGAGUCAAACUUGAGGCAAGUUCUUGGAGAAAAGAGAAGUAUUGAGGGGAGAGGCAAUCAGAUGCUCGGUGAAGGCACGUGUCUGGUUAUAGCAUAAACUGAGUGUGGGCAGGAGAGAAUCGCUGAAUCUUAGGAGUUAUGGAGCCUCACCGUGGACGCGACUCAGGGAAACCACAGAUUCCCUUCCAUCCCUGUUGAGGUGCCAGCCUCACUGUCCACACAGUAAGCGACUCCUAAAUAGGACCAAGGUUUUUGCAUUUUUUUCUGCCUGUGGUGGUUUAUGCCAAUGCUUCACAUUUCACGGUUGCUCCAGAUGCGUGAUGGAAUGGAAUGGUUCGCUGGUCCUUUCCACACACCAAGGCUGGGCUAGGAAGGAGGGCAACCUCUGAGUCUUCCAUGGAUAACUUACCUCAGUGUUCCUUACUAUUUGGGGAAGAGUUUGAUUUGGUUAAAAGGUAAAAAUAUUUCUCUUCUUUGGUACCUGUUCAUUUUGAUUGUGCUUGUAGCAUCAACAAUGGGCUAGAAACGGGCCAGAAAGAAAGCUGGGCUGUCUUUCUCUAAGCGGAGUUUCCCAGGGGGCGCUGGGCAGGCUCAGUGGCUGGCGGGGCUGGGAUGGGCUUACCCGGGAUACAGAUGGCUGAAAGUUUCUUAUGGUGGUACAGUAUUGAAAAGCAGUUUUGAUAACUAUUGAGAAAUGAACACUCAUUGUAUGGCUUCAUCUGUAAACUUCCUGACUUCACUAAUGGCUAUUUGGGUGUCUGAAACUCUGUGAAUAGCCCCUACCACCAGAAUGUCUAGGAAGAUACAUACAAUUCACUUCCCCUACCCCGAUCUUCCUGUGAAAAGGUCCUGGUAUUAGUUUGACUAUUUUUCAGUCAUACUUUGUUCACCAUCAGUGAUGUUCUUUCCUUUGCCUGCCCUAUAAAAUAUUAGAUUCUUUGAUUUCAUUUGCUCUUAUGUAGUUUUCCUAAUAAUAUAGGAGACAUAUGUGAUUUUAAUCAUUACAUUUUAAAAUCAGAUCUCAGACACUCCUAAAUAGAAAAUGAUUUAUUUCACUGGGAGAGUUUACACAAAGUCCGUAUUUAAUAUCUUCCAUAACAUUUUCUAAUUUUAAAAAUUAAAAAAAUUAACUUUUAUUACUUACUAAGUCUCAAAUGGAAUCUCCCAAAUUCUUUCCAGCAUAUCCCAGUUAUGUAAGUGGUGUAAUUUCCUGUGUGUCACGACGUGAAAAAGGUAGGGCGACAUUGCCGUAAAUUAUUCCUGGUGCAGUUUUUCACCCUGGGAGGUUGGGUGUAAGGGGAAAGAACGUUAAUCUUGGUGGAAGGGAUUUGUUAGAGAAACCCAAGACGUUGCCACGUUUGCUUUUAAAGUUCUAGUUGCCAAGAUAGUGAAAUAAGUAGGGCGAGUUGAACUGAAAGAUAUUUCACAGUGAUGGACACUGUCUGAUGGGGUUGGGUGUGUGUCUGCAGAUUUAUACCUUGCUGCUGGAUCUCCCGGCUGCUUCCAGGAGAGGAUGGGUUGAAAGAGGCAGCAGGAACUAAAAAGCUCAGUCUGGGUCUCGAGAUCCGUGUCGCUCCCUGCACGCUAUCCUCCUGGCUGCCCAGUCCAUCACUACCCCUUUGUGAUGCAGCUCAUCGCCCUGCACUGAGGAAGGUCCUUGAGCCCCACCUCCCCUUCUCUCCAGAGACAGGGUGCCAUCUAGAUGGGUGCUAGGAGGUCAGGAAACCUGGGCCCUUCGCUCCACCGAUGGUUUUCCGAGCGCACCGGACACCUUCCUUGGUUGCGUGAGCCUCUGCUUCUGUUUGCAGGAAGAGGGCUAUAUUUGAUUUCCCACUUGCCUGCCAGGGUAGGUGAGGAUGAAUGACAUGGACUCUCACCGGAGAAAGAUACUGUUUGAACAGACAGUCUGUUUCCAUCAAGGUGGGGAGCAGUCAACUGCCAGGGCUCCACGCCGGCGAGAGUCCAGGGGACUGGACCAUCCCCCUUCACUCAGACGGCGGAGACCACGCCUGUCUCCCCUGAACGGCCGUGUGUGAAUGUCCGGCUUUAUGAUACAUUUGUGCCGGUGAGGGAGUUGGACACGAAGCAGAGGCAGAGGGGUGCCCGUCCCCACUUCAUACAGAGCAUCAACUGUGCGAGCCCGUGACUCAUGGCACACUCACCUGGAGUCGGAGCCCCCCAGGCACCGGGAGCCCUGCCUCCCCGGAGUAUUUCCCCGAUUGAUGACGGAGGACCUCAGCACUGCAGCUCACACAGAGCCUUUAUUCGUGGCCGGCGCGGGACUGCGCGGCCUGUGGGGCACACCCCGGGCCGUGUGCGCUCUCCUCCCGCCUCCUCCCGGGGAGGGAGGCCCCGGCCCGCCGGCGCUGACUUGCCAUGCCCCGCAUCUCCCACAAGGGGGAGCCCCCGGAGGGCAGCGGAAUUUUGGAAGCGCUGAAGUUUUUCUCCUGCUGUCCUCUUAACUGAUUUUCCGUACCCAACUGUAAGAUUUUCUUUGUUGCAAUGUUGGGGCCUGAGCUAACACUUCUGGAGUCUGCGGGUGAGAACCACGGCGGAUGCCAUCUUUUCUUGUUUGUUAUUACCUACCUAGCAUUAUAAACUAAGGAGGGAAAGUCACAAAGAGCUUCAAGACGUUCAUGGAUCUCAGGCCCUGGAGGGAGGCAGGCGGCAUCAGACAGACAGAACCAGGAAAUCUGAGAGGCAGCCAGAAGGUGCCUGUGGCUGCAGAGCCCAGACUUGACUUCGGAAAAGACUCAGAAGAGCCGGUAAACUUGGGUUCCUCACUUCUGCUCCUCAUACGCAGGCGAACUGUUUGAAGACGCUGGCCUCGCAAGAUGGCAACAGGUUUUAAGAAAAACAGGAUUCAUAAGAAGUUCCUUUUUUUUUUCAGGGUGAUUUGCGUGGUGCUCUCGAACACACUCAGGCAGUGCUGCUGCUUGACUGAUUCUUGAACAAGGUGAACCAUGAGAAAGAGCUCCGUUUUUCUGGUGACGCAGCACUUCACUUGUAGUUAGAAGUAGCAUGGCCCCCAGACUAUCAUUCCAUUUCUGUAUUAAAGAGUCAAUGUGAUAACUCUCUGUGACAUGUUCUGUUAUUUUUUUAGUUGUGUUGAUGUUCCUUUCAGCUGGUCCUAUAGUCCCCCCUCCUCAGGAAUGUCUCCCCAGUGAAAGGACACAGACUGCAGAGAAUGCUGCACUGAUGGACGCUCAAGUCAACUGUGAAGCUGAAACAAAGAAAGUGGUCACCUCUCCUGCGCUCCUCUCCUGCUAAGCGACACACCCACACGGUGCAGUUUCAGCCAAUAGGAUCUCAGAACAAGAUGCAAUCUUUUCAAGAAACAGAAACACUUCAUAAUGCCAUCUAGAUUUCUCAUGAGCCAAGGACGUUCCCUUCCUUGUGUGUAUUCCUCUGUGUGUAUUUAAAUUCUGUGUGACCUUCAUUUAAAAUUUUUUUUCUAGUGUGAAUAUGCUCAUUAAUGCACGAGUUUUUAAAAUAGAAAACUGCACAAAUAUGUUCAUGUUUUAAGGAGCAAAAUUCGUGCUCUAGGUAGGUUGGAUUUUAGCCACACCCAAUUUGAUCUUAAGAAUGACCUAAGGAAUAUAAAGUUCUUUUGAAAUAAUGAAGUUGUCGGAGGCAAUCCGGAGGAUAAAGUAAGGGUGGGAACUCAGAAUGCAGCAUAGAAAUAUGUUAUCCCACUGACACCAAUCAAUCAAGCAUUCUUUGUAUCAAGCAAACUUCUGUGAGACACAGUCACUGCCUCGGAAGAGUUUUAAUCUUGUUAGAUAGAGGUGCGUAAACUUUUGAACAGAUGAGUAACGGAUCAAAUCAUUAGAUGCUAAGACCAAAACCAAACUGAAACCAAAGAUUUAAACAAGGAGCUCAGAGGACGUCACCUUCACCUGGACAAACUGGUCUGUUCAGGGAGGGAAGUUCCCAAGGAGGAAAAUAAAAGGUGAAUCUUAAUGGCUGGUAAAGAUGUAGAUAAAUGGAAAGGAAGGAGAAAAUAGAGUCCUUUAGAUGGGUGCAAUAUUGUGCACAAAGUCAGGGAAGAAGCAAUCUACAUGGUGAUUUUAGGAAAUUAUGAAUGCAUGUAUCUUGUUGACUUCAUCCCAGACUUUCAGUGCCGGUGUGUACGUGUGUAUAUGGUAAAGACUUCGGACACACGCGUUCCCUCUCCCACCCCACGUGCAGCCUAGAAUUACAGUUGCAUUUCUUCCGUUAAAGCAAGUGAGAGUGACUUGUGAUGUUACGAGAACUUGUGAUUUUUCUGUUAACCUAGAACAAUCUAUAUUUAGUGUGUUCUCACUGUAAGCAUUUUACGUACUAACUCCCUUAAGCCUCACAACAACCCUGCAAAGUGGGUGUUUGUAUUAUUCCCAUUUUACAAUAAGAAAACUGAGCCUCAGUGAAAUUAAGUAACUUGCCACACUGGCACAUCCAGAGUUCACAUUCAGAACUGGGAUUGCAAAGCCCGUGAACCAGAGCACCCAGUCACCAUAUUGCCACCAAUGUCACAGUGUUACCUCUUCUAUAUUCCUUAAUGUUUGCCUGUGGUAAACGAGUUGCUAUUCCAUUUAUCUUCUCAAAUUUUUCAGUUUUCUGGCUAAAUUACACUAGAGUGAUGGAAUGUAUUUUCAUGAUUGAAACUGAAAAAAUUGGGGAAUAGAGUUUAUCAGCAUUUUAGACUUUUUUUGGCGGGGGGGCAGACUUUGACGAGUCUGUGCACUUUGGUCAGCAUGAAAUCUCAACUGCUUGAGAAUAAAAAUAGCAGGUGGAGAGAGCUUAAGGGUCAUCUAUCACAGUGUCCUUUUCUGUAAAUGUGAUGUGGUAAAUCCAUAGAGUUAGAGUCAGGUCCAGGAGCCACGCCCUCACAGGCUCUUGGAACUACUCCACCCCUACCUCAGUGAAGUGUGAGCUUGACGUUGAUCAAUGAAGACGUUCUCAUCUGGGUGGUCAGGGAGCUUCGUACCUAGUAGAUUGCUUCAACUUUGUACCUCUGACUUCUUACCUCAAUGUGAAAAGUAACUAGCUAUGAACUGACAUCUUUAGAUUCAGAGAUGGUCAGUGGUCCAGCCGCAAAGACCACUUAAUGGCCCAAGUUAUGUGUACAAUGUCUUCAGUGAUACUUCUUAAGUUAUUUGGAACUCUUAGUUCACCUAAACAAAUCAGAACUCCUGAUACGUGUUUCCUUAACCAACUGUAUGCGUGGCAUAAUAUUUGUAAUAGCUCCUACCUGUACAUUUAAACAUGAAUGUUUCGAGAGUCCUUGUGCUUUUGAAAAUAUCAGUGGUUAUUUGCUAUUUUAAUCCUCAUUUAUCCGUAUAACAAAGUCAAGAAUACUUCAGUCGUAAGAAGCUAGAAUUGAGGAAACCUCACUCUUCCUUACCAGCCCCUUUGCCUCCAGUUGGCAUUUAGUAAUGAUUAAUAAAGUGGGCGGCUGGAGAGCGCCGAGGUUCAAAAUGCAAUUCUGUCUUGAAGGAGUCAGUUCAGCUGUGUCUACUAAAGGGCAGACGUCUGGAUGUUUAGGAGUUACCUGCAGAGCUGGCUGUUGUAAAUUUCCACUCAGCUAUCUGGCGCUGUCGGACGUAGACCUCCUGGUGGCUCAGGUCGUCCUGUUUUCAAAAUGAGGGUCGUUGGCCAUCUCACACAGUUCUCGUUAAGUGAGUUCAUAAAUAAACAGUUUUUUUUUAAAGAGUAGCCAAGCACAAAAUGUGACUUUGUUGACGUUUUAUGAGACUUUGUCAUGUGUCCCCUGAACCCCCAAUAAAAACAAUGUUGCAUCAGCUGUGA
This is a non-coding RNA of Vicugna pacos (alpaca), 10705 nucleotides long. The record is from RefSeq and is a predicted model, not a curated record. NCBI's taxonomy places the organism in Eukaryota, Metazoa, Chordata, Mammalia, Artiodactyla, Camelidae.